GGGGAGGAAAAAGAAAGUCGGCUGAUUAAAAUCUGGGGUGAGAGAGAAAGAAAAAGGGAGAGGAAAAAAAAAGGAAGAAAAAAAAUUUCUGCAGACAAGUAGCAGGGCUGAUCGAGCAGUCAUGUUUGGAUGCCAUUUUCUCCUUCAUUUUAGUCUCCUUUUCAUCGAUUAUUUUUUUUCUGCAUAUUUUAUAGAUGUUGGAGAAAAACUUUCAUGUUGUAGAUUUCAUGAGAGAACAGUUUAAAGCUGCCAAAUCUGAUGCCAAAUUUGGAAGAAAACCAACCCUGGUAUCCGAAACUCUUGGAGUUUGGAAUCAAAUCUGCAGCCUCAAAGUCCGUUCAUUUUGAUUCAUUUCUGACUGAUACAUCCAGGUCCGUCUCUAGAAGAAAUGAUGAAGCAGUUAAUUGGGACAAGUGCAGUCAUUGCAAAUUCAAGUAAAUCAAUUGAUGAUAGCAAUUAACCGUCUAGAAUCCCAAGUCCAAGGGAGACUUUUAAAUUAUGAAGAAUUGCCCUCAUAAACCAUCGUCGACGUUAAGAAAGAUGAGGAUGUAUUUAUCCGGACAAAUGACAUGGAAUUGCAAGAGUUUGAAGAAAAUGGAUCUAAAGAUACAGCUGAAAAGGAGGUUGAAGUGCAAGAAAUGAGGCCUCAACAUCAAUUCGUUCAAGUGAAUGAAUCUAGUGAAUAAUAUCCAAAAGCGGUGACAUCUCCCAUAUUCCUUAAUCAGGCGUCUCAAGUCGUAUGGAGAGCUCGUGGUUAGAAGGGUUCUUGCCCUCAUGACGUGCCCGCGUCAAACCAGCUGGAGAACUCCUCAUUCCGUGCCUUCAUCACGUGCCCACGUCACAUUCGCGAGAAAGGUAAGUAUUCAAAAAACUCAAGAACGGUUAUUGAUUCUCUGUUAAUAUCUAAUUUUGAAUUUCGAAAAUAAAAUUUGCAAAAAAAAAAA
This is a non-coding RNA of Coffea arabica (coffee), 944 nucleotides long. Lineage: Eukaryota; Viridiplantae; Streptophyta; Magnoliopsida; Gentianales; Rubiaceae. The record is from RefSeq and is a predicted model, not a curated record.